GAUUCUUUUCGGGUGUAAUAGAUACAUGCAGUCGAGCGAACAGAUAAGGAGCUUGCUCCUUUGACGUUAGCGGCGGACGGGUGAGUAACACGUGGAUAACCUACCUAUAAGACUGGGAUAACUUCGGGAAACCGGAGCUAAUACCGGAUAAGAUUUUGAACCGCAUGGUUCAAUAGUGAAAGACGGCCUUGCUGUCACUUAUAGAUGGAUCCGCGCCGUAUUAGCUAGUUGGUAAGGUAACGGCUUACCAAGGCAACGAUACGUAGCCGACCUGAGAGGGUGAUCGGCCACACUGGAACUGAGACACGGUCCAGACUCCUACGGGAGGCAGCAGUAGGGAAUCUUCCGCAAUGGGCGAAAGCCUGACGGAGCAACGCCGCGUGAGUGAUGAAGGUCUUCGGAUCGUAAAACUCUGUUAUCAGGGAAGAACAAACGUGUAAGUAACUGUGCACGUCUUGACGGUACCUGAUCAGAAAGCCACGGCUAACUACGUGCCAGCAGCCGCGGUAAUACGUAGGUGGCAAGCGUUAUCCGGAAUUAUUGGGCGUAAAGCGCGCGUAGGCGGUUUUUUAAGUCUGAUGUGAAAGCCCACGGCUCAACCGUGGAGGGUCAUUGGAAACUGGAAAACUUGAGUGCAGAAGAGGAAAGUGGAAUUCCAUGUGUAGCGGUGAAAUGCGCAGAGAUAUGGAGGAACACCAGUGGCGAAGGCGACUUUCUGGUCUGUAACUGACGCUGAUGUGCGAAAGCGUGGGGAUCAAACAGGAUUAGAUACCCUGAUAGUCCACGCCGUAAACGAUGAGUGCUAAGUGUUAGGGGGUUUCCGCCCCUUAGUGCUGCAGCUAACGCAUUAGCACUCCGCCUGGGGAGUACGACCGCAGUUGAAACUCAGAAAUAUUGUGACACGGAA
Molecule: ribosomal RNA, 907 nt
Filed under: Staphylococcus pasteuri
Lineage: Bacteria; Bacillati; Bacillota; Bacilli; Caryophanales; Staphylococcaceae
Description: bacterial SSU rRNA
Rfam family: Bacterial small subunit ribosomal RNA
Source: RNAcentral